RNAcentral lists this ribosomal RNA (519 nucleotides) under uncultured eukaryote. RNAcentral's name for it is "SSU rRNA". It matches the Rfam family "Eukaryotic small subunit ribosomal RNA", at positions 1161 to 1699 of the family's 1831-position model. The record is from RNAcentral.
AGGGCACCACCAGGAGUGGAGCCUGCGGCUUAAUUUGACUCAACACGGGGAAACUUACCCGGCCUGGACACUGGAAGGAUUGACAGAUUGAGAGCUCUUUCUUGAUUCAGUGGGUGGUGGUGCAUGGCCGUUCUUAGUUGGUGGAGCGAUUUGUCUGGUUAAUUCCGAUAACGAACGAGACUCUAGCCUAUUAAAUAGGCUCCCGGCUUUUAAACGCCGGGAGGACUUCUUAGAGGGACAGGUGGCGGUUCAGCCGCACGAAAGAGAGCAAUAACAGGUCUGUGAUGCCCUUUGUUGUCCGGGGCCGCACGCGCGCUACACUGAAGAGAUCAGCGUGCUUUAUGUUCCUGCUCCGACCAGAGUGGGGAACCCAGUGAACCUUCUUCGUGAUUGGGAUAGAAGAUUGUAAUUAUUCUUCCUGAACGAGGAAUUCCCAGUAAAUGCGAGUCAUGAGCUCGCGUUGAUUACGUCCCUGCCCUUUGUAUACACCGCCCGUCGCUACUACCGAUUGAACGAUUU